Molecule: long non-coding RNA, 1597 nt
Organism: Dreissena polymorpha
Lineage: Eukaryota; Metazoa; Mollusca; Bivalvia; Myida; Dreissenidae
Exons: 15
Source: RefSeq, a predicted model, not a curated record
CACUGGAGAGAUGCCGGAAGAGGAAUGUCUGCGACUAAGUCAAGGGCCACUGGAUAAGGGUUGUUGAUGGCAAAACAGGUUGGAGACUACAUAAGACUUUGACAGUUGGCGGGAAACCAUCAUCAACUGGAGAGAUGCCGGAAGAGGAAUGUCUGCGACUAAGUCAAGGGCCACUGGAUAAGGGUUGUUGAUGGCAAAACAGGUUGGAGACUACAUAAGACUUUGACAGUUGGCGGGAAACCAUCAUCAACUGGAGAGAUGCCGGAAGAGGAAUGUCUGCGACUAAGUCAAGGGCCACUGGAUAAGGGUUGUUGAUGGCAAAACAGGUUGGAGACUACAUAAGACUUUGACAGUUGGCGGGAAACCAUCAUCAACUGGAGAGAUGCCGGAAGAGGAAUGUCUGCGACUAAGUCAAGGGCCACUGGAUAAGGGUUGUUGAUGGCAAAACAGGUUGGAGACUACAUAAGACUUUGACAGUUGGCGGGAAACCAUCAUCAACUGGAGAGAUGCCGGAAGAGGAAUGUCUGCGACUAAGUCAAGGGCCACUGGAUAAGGGUUGUUGAUGGCAAAACAGGUUGGAGACUACAUAAGACUUUGACAGUUGGCGGGAAACCAUCAUCAACUGGAGAGAUGCCGGAAGAGGAAUGUCUGCGACUAAGUCAAGGGCCACUGGAUAAGGGUUGUUGAUGGCAAAACAGGUUGGAGACUACAUAAGACUUUGACAGUUGGCGGGAAACCAUCAUCAACUGGAGAGAUGCCGGAAGAGGAAUGUCUGCGACUAAGUCAAGGGCCACUGGAUAAGGGUUGUUGAUGGCAAAACAGGUUGGAGACUACAUAAGACUUUGACAGUUGGCGGGAAACCAUCAUCAACUGGAGAGAUGCCGGUAAAAAGAUGGCCAUAAAACAGUGACCGCUGAUUCGCAUUGAGUUCUUUCUUACAUAUUGGAUGACCUAUGUUUUUUAUUGUUUAAAUCAUUGCGGCUUGGAAUGCUCUUUAAGAAAAGGUAUGGUUAUGGGGGUGUCUACGCGCAAAAGUUUGACUUUAUUUUUUGUUAAAGUUAUUGCUUUUACAUUGAAUUUGUGCAGGAAAUCUUUUGGUAUGUUGUGACCUAAACUAACUUAUGAUAAAAAUGAAAUAUCAUCUGCAAGUGCAAAAUAUGACUGGGAAAGCAGAUUUUUGGUCAUUUCUUAGCAAAAGGGAAGAAAAUAAGUGCAUUAAAUGCAUGAAUUCAGAUUAUUUGACCUGGAAUAGUUGUUUUUCAAGUUGACCCCCCACCCUUAUAUAGUGGAAUAAGGGCUAAAUUGCUUUCCGACUUAAAUUCAACCGCAUAUUGGUUGACCGUGUCGCGUUAAUGUGUUACAUGAAGUUAGAAUUCAACGCCAGGGACUCCAUGAUCGAGUAACGCAACUAAAACUUUUGCGAAAAGCAUGAACAUUCAAACAGAGCCCCAUUUCACCGACAUGGAAUGGCAGGCAUUUUUACAGUAUGGACAGUGCAGCAGAUGCUUAACUGAGCCAGCCUUCAUAUUUAGUACAAUCAUGAAUUGAGCAAGAUUUUAUCACUUCAUAUUAUUCAUAAAAGUACACUUAAAAUACA